This 379-nucleotide ribosomal RNA is filed under the name uncultured cyanobacterium. Its description in RNAcentral is "bacterial SSU rRNA". It matches the Rfam family "Bacterial small subunit ribosomal RNA", at positions 376 to 770 of the family's 1533-position model. The record is from RNAcentral. Lineage: Bacteria; Bacillati; Cyanobacteriota.
CGAAAGCCUGACGGAGCAAUACCGCGUGAGGGAGGAAGGUUCUUGGAUUGUAAACCUCUUUUCUUAGGGAAGAAGUACUGACGGUACCUAAGGAAUAAGCAUCGGCUAACUCCGUGCCAGCAGCCGCGGUAAUACGGAGGAUGCAAGCGUUAUCCGGAAUUAUUGGGCGUAAAGAGUCCGUAGGUGGCAAUUCAAGUCUGUGGUCAAAGACUAGAGCUUAACUCUGGAAAGGCCAUGGAAACUGAAGAGCUAGAGUUCGGGAGGGGUAGAGGGAAUUCCCAGUGUAGCGGUGAAAUGCGUAGAUAUUGGGAAGAACAUCGGUGGCGAAGGCGCGCUACUGGACCGAAACUGACACUCAGGGACGAAAGCUAGGGUAGCG